AUUGAACGCUGGCGGCAGGCCUAACACAUGCAAGUCGAACGGUAACAGGAAGAAGCUUGCUUCUUUGCUGACGAGUGGCGGACGGGUGAGUAAUGUCUGGGAAACUGCCUGAUGGAGGGGGAUAACUACUGGAAACGGUAGCUAAUACCGCAUAACGUCGCAAGACCAACAUGGGGGACCUUCGGGCCUCUUGCCAUCGGUUGUGCCCAGAUGGGAUUAGCUAGUAGGUGGGGUAACGGCUCACCUAGGCGACGAUCCCUAGCUGGUCUGAGAGGAUGACCAGCCACACUGGAACGGAGACACGGUCCAGACUCCUACGGGAGGCAGCAGUGGGGAAUAUUGCACAAUGGGCGCAAGCCUGAUGCAGCCGUGCCGCGUGUAUGAAGAAGGCCUUCUGGUUGUAAAGUACUUUCAGCGGGGAGGAAGGAAGUAAAGUUAAUACCUUUGCUCAUUGACGUUACCCGCAGAAGAAGCACCGGCUAACUCCGUG
RNAcentral lists this ribosomal RNA (490 nucleotides) under uncultured bacterium. Its description in RNAcentral is "partial 16S ribosomal RNA". It matches the Rfam family "Bacterial small subunit ribosomal RNA", at positions 30 to 507 of the family's 1533-position model. The record is from RNAcentral.